UACGGAGGGUGCAAGCGUUAAUCGGAAUCACUGGGCGUAAAGCGCGCGUAGGUGGCUAUUUAAGUCAGAUGUGAAAGCCCUGGGCUCAACCUGGGAAUGGCAUUUGAUACUGGCAGACUAGAGUAUGGUAGAGGGGGGUAGAAUUCCUGGUGUAGCGGUGAAAUGCGUAGAUAUCAGGAGGAAUACCAGUGGCGAAGGCGACCCCCUGGGCCAAUACUGACGCUGAGGUGCGAAAGCGUGGGUAGCGAACAGG
This 253-nucleotide ribosomal RNA is filed under the name uncultured bacterium. Its description in RNAcentral is "partial 16S ribosomal RNA". It matches the Rfam family "Bacterial small subunit ribosomal RNA", at positions 524 to 776 of the family's 1533-position model. The record is from RNAcentral.